UACAGUUUUACUCAUCUACUUUCCACUAUGGCAAUAAACACUUAAAAACCACGGACUGUCUCUUUUCAUUAGGACCCUCUAUGGGGAGCCACAGAGAAGGACUUCACCUAAAUAGUCUAGUCUUUCUGUGCUCCCAGCAGCAGCAGCAGCAGCAGCAGCAGCAGCAGCAGCAGCAGCAGCAGCAGCAGCAGCAGCAGCAGCAGCAGCAGCUACCAAGCUCAAGCCCAGCGCUGCCCAAACAGACAAUGCUUCCCCACCCCUGGAAUGGUGUCCCACAGCUUUCCACAGGCCAUUACCACCAAGUGGUGGCAUGAGAUUGGAGCCUACCAUAAUCAUCAUCAGAGAGGAAUCAUCUAGCAACUGAUUGAAGAAGCCAGACAUUAGCUGGAGUAUGGGGAAUUCUGAGGAAGAGUGAAAGAAAAGAUUGUAGAGACAAGAGGAGUCAAGAACACCAAAGGAAAUCCAAAGAAGCAAUUAACCUGGACUCAUAUGGACGCACAGAGACUGAACUAACAAUCACAAAGGCUGUAAGGCUGCAUAUAUCUGACUUAGUUUCUCUCUCUCUCUCUCUCUCUCUCUCUCUCUCUCUCUCUCUCUCGCUCUCUCUCUCUCUUUCUCUUUAUAUGUAUAUAUAUACAUAUAUAUAUAUAUAUAUAUAUGUUAUAGUUAUAUAGCUUACUCUUGGUAUUCCUGUGGGAGUAAUAACUGUGGGAGCCGGAGCUGUUUCUGACUCUUUCUAUUAUUCUUCAUACUGGGAUAUCACAACUAGCAUUAAUAAGAGAGAAGAUGUCUCUUCUUUGGGAAAUUAAUAUUCUAUGAUUGGUUGAUAUCUCUGAAAGAUCUAACCUUUUCUGAAGAGAAAUGUAGGAGAACUAAAUCUUGGAGGGGAGAUAAGAUAGGGUGGGGGAAUGGAAGGAGAAAGGGGAGGGAAAACAUGAUAACUAAUGUUAUAUAUGAGAGAAGAAUAAAUAAUUAAUAAAAAACCUUGUGUUAAUUUGACCCCCUUGUUUUUUAUAGGUAAGGACUUCUUUUUUUUAUUUUUCGGAGCUGGGGACCGAACCCAGGGCCUUCCGCUUGCUAGGCAAGUGCUCUACCACUGAGCUAAAUCCCCAAGCCCUAGGUAAGGACUUCUUAAGAGUACGUGACCAUUUGUGUCUAGAAUGUUGCUAUUCACAGAUUUUCUUGAUAAGCCUAGUACAAUCUACUGUGUAUUAAAAUACAAACAACUGUUAUCUUUGAUUAUCUUGUAGUUAAAAUGUACAUUUUUAUUGUUGCACUAUGUUCAAUUUGUUCUUGGUACACUCAAUUUUAAUUUUUUUCUGUGAAAUAGAAUAGUAAUACAGCAUCACCAUCUUAAGAUAAAUUUUAAGCCUUAAACAACAUAAAAAAAGAUUUAUCAACUAGGUCUGGAGUUCUUUCUUUCUGUGUACUUUUAAUUCAAGAAACAAUGAACAGUUUAUUUGGACCACAUAGUAUGUAGAAGACAGGUCAAAUAUUAAAAAGAUCCAAAAAUGGUGAGCCAAUUAAUAGGGUCAAUGCAGAACUAUGAGUGUUCUGACACAAAUGCAGCUAUAUUACCCAAAAGACCAAAAACAAUGUUGCAGAGAGGUCCUAAAAGCUGAAGUCCUUCAGUUAUCUAAACAGUGUGAAGGCAAUUCCAAUAGUAAUUUUGAUUCUUUCUUUUUAAUCUUUUGUUUUAACACUCCAGAUUUAUACCCCUCCCAGACCACCCUCUCACUGUUCUACAUCCCAUACCUCCUUUCCCUGUCUCCAUGAGGAUGUCUCCACACCCCACACCCCACACCCCACCUCCCACCAGACCCCCUCACUCCCUGGGUCUUCCAGUCUCUUGAGGGUUAGAGGCAUCUUCUCUGACUGAGUCCACACCCAAUAGUGCUCUGCUGUAUAUGUGUUGGAGGCCUCAUACUGACUUGUGUUUGCUGCUGGGUUGAGGCCCAGCAUCUGAGAGAUCUUGGGGUUCCAAGUUAGAGGAGACUGUGGGUCCUCCUACAGGGUUUUUCUAUUCCUUAGCUUCUUCCAGCUUUUCGCCAAUUCAACCACAGGGUCAUUAGCUUCUGUCCAUUUGUUGGGUGAAAAUAUCUAUAUCUGACGCUUUCAGAGGGCAGUCAUGAUAGGACCUUUGUGUGAUUACUUAAUAGCCUCAGAUGUAGUAUCAGGCCUUGGGUCCUCCCCUUAAGCUAGAUCCCACUUUGAGCCUGUCGCUGGACUUAUUUCAUGUAAAUAUUGCACUAUGUAACUUCUCUUGACUGCUAUUUUACUAUUAAACCUAGAAGAUCCACAUGAACUAGAAAUUUACAACUUAAUUCUCCCUAUUAAAGAUGCAUUCAGGGACUACAGGAGAUAGCCCACAUAGAGGGAUUAUAUCAGGUUAGUCUGAGUUUAUUUAUCCAAGUCCCACACCAAAAGCAAUCAAACUCAACAAUAAGACCGUUUUACUGAAUCCUAGAAAGGAGCUAACAAAUGGAACAGGACAAUGGGCCUCUGGACAAAUACUACUAGGGAAGUAACCCUCUCUUCACUAUGAAUUAACAAAUGACAAUGUUAAGGCCUCCACAAUCAUCUGUUUUUGUCCUUGUUGUCCUUUUAAAGUUUAUUAUAAACUCUCCUAAUGACUUAGUAAGUAUCACUUAUGCCUACUCAAUGAAAAAGCUCCCAAGGAUUCUAUAAUACUCCCUAAACAUUGCUUGUUUUGCGAACAAAUUUAUUAACCAUGUAUUGUUCAAGUACAUAUUGAUAUCUCUUAGAAGAUUCUCCAAGUAUGCAAACCACACAAAGAUUAGAAUUAUGCUAUCUAUGUAGUAAACUGAAAAACCUUAUAUAGAGGAUGGGCAAAGCAAAUAGGCAAAUCCCUGAGCCACCAUCAUAUAAUUAACACUGUGAUUGUCAAUAUGAUGUACUUGAGGCAUUUUGAAAGUACACUGUUAGGUGUACUGAGGAAAUGUCAGAAAAUUUAUAGAUAAUAAGCUCCUAUCAUCAUUUAUAAGACAGAUCUACUAGAGGAUGAGUAGAUUUGAUCUAUAAGCAUCGACAGUCUCUUCCCUACAUCAAUGUUGAUUAAAAUACAAUGAAUAUAAUGCACUAACUUGGUUAGUUAUAAGAAAAAUCAAAAAAGUAUAUUCAUCAUCCCUGAGCCAUUAUACUUCUCUCCUGUAGAGCUCUUCAGUGUAGCUUUCCAUUUUCCCACCUAAGAGUGAAUUAUUAUACCUGGAUCCUAUUGUCCUUCUACUCCUUAUACCAGCUUUACAUCAUAGGGACCAUUCACUUCUGCCUACAUCUGGCAAGGUCUAUAUAGUUUAUAUUACUAGGGUUGCAGAAUGAUUGUUAUUCUAAGGUAGACUGUGUCUUUACAAUGCAAUACAUCAUGCCAUGGUUUGUUAUACCCAGAUAUCCCUUGGAAGUACUACUAUUUUCUCCACCAAUUAAAUACCCCUCAAGUACUAUGGAUGGACCUCUUCAAAUGAAAGACUUAUAUGUCUUUAUAUAGACAUUACACAAACAAACCUUGAGCCCACAGUCUCAUGGAUGUGCAGUAUAAAAUAAUUUGGAAGGUAUAUAUUAAUGAGUUGGUCAUGUUGACAAAAUUGGCUAUUGGUAAACAAAUAGCAAUGAAUAGUUGUUCACCCAAUGGUUAGAGUUUUAUUCCUUAGCCUUUCUUUAUCAUGGAUAAAAUUUCCUGAAUAUAUUUUUGAUCCGUAGAGCCUCCUGCAAUAUCAUUAGAAGAAAAUUUGGCUUUCGUUCAUUUAUCAUUGCCACAUUGAUUUUCUACCUUAUGUUCACUCUUUACUUGCUGGUCAUAAUCUAUUAUUUAUUUAUAAUAUAAAAUACAAUGAAAAGUCUAAAUAAAGCAUAAAGUUAUGGCUGAAUCAAUUUCUUUAAUAAUUUUCCACUGUAGAAUGUAAUAUUAAUAUCAGUGAUCUAGGUAUCAUACACCGUUUUUUCUCAAUCUAGUUCUUUCAAGUGUGUCUGUCCCAUGUCUUUUGUUUUCUAGCCUGUGACCUCCAAGCACCAAUGUCAUGCCUAAGUUUCUCUAAUGGAUGAUAUGAAACAGUUCAUCAGGAAUAUAUUCCUCUUGAAUUUCCUCAAUGUAUACAACAUUUGUCUCCAAUUGCGUCAAGUUAUAUAAUGAAAUAUGUUUAUACAGCUCAGUUUACAUGCUUCCACAGCUUUCAAACUAGGCAUUCUUUUACAAGUUUCCAACAGACAAAGGAGAAAAUGUGUAAAAGAGUCUUUGUUUUAUUAAAGUGUUUACUUUCUAGCAAAUUAAGUGUUUUAAUAUCAUUGAUUAUAACUGUUUCUGGAAUCUGAACAAAAUUAAAGCUACUAUAGGCAUGGAGACUCUGAUUUUCCAGUUCUAUGUGUCACAGUGGAUGUAAGUUAUCUACUUUUCUAUGUCUCUCUCUUAAUCAUUGAUGCAUGACUUUUCAAUGGAAUCCAUAUUGGGGGAACAAAAGUGCCCUCUUUAUUAUUGAUCUAAUAUGAAAUCUCUUAUAGUUUUUUUACCAGGAGAUUAAAAAAAAUCAUCAAAUAUCUACAUUACACCUCUUUUAUCCUAUUCCUCAACAUAUCUGUUCAAAUACUAAAGAUUUCAGUUGAAUAUUCCUUGUUCCACAAUUUAUAACUUAUGCCAGCAGUCUCUUUCACCAGGGAUGUGAGCUUACCCAGGCACAGGUUGCUUACUUAGUACACAUAGCAGGAGGCCAGAUGCUUCUUUCUCUACACAAUACUUUUUCAAUAUCAUUUUAUUCUCAAAGCAGAGGGCAAACAGUUACCCAUGAAUCAUAAUAUCUACUAUAUAGCACAUGAAUAAAGAUUGCUGCCCUGUGAAUUACACUAGAGGAAUUAUCUAGGAGAGUGGCCUCCCAUUAUUUACUCAUUACCAUAGCAAUAUACUAGCCAUGCUAUAACCACUAAACCCACCAAACUGAAUGGGAAGAAAUAAGCAUGCAGAAGUUCUCUACAAACUCUAUUCCCUCAACCAUGCCUCAGGUGUCCCUCUUAUUUUAUACCUCAAGAAGAGUAUCUAUUCUUAUUCAAACUCAUACUUAGUUUUUCAUUAGGUCCAAUCUACCUCACAUGCUACUAAAAUCCUAUCCUUUAAUGAGAAUUGUAAAUAAUGUCUAAUAUUUUCCUAGUGUACCAAGGGUGAAAAAAAUGCACAAUACUACUUACAUUUGCUCUUAGGAGCAACUGGGGUUCUUAGCCUUAUUUGCAAAGUAUAGUAGAAGAAAGUACUUUUCAAGCAAGGAGGAUGGAUUUCUCAUUGAUAUAUAUCAUUCUCUAACUAGUUUUCCCUGGCAUUAUACCCUAAGGAGCCAAUGCACUUUUAGUGAAAAUUUUGGCAUGAGAUUUGAGGUGGAGAGGCUGAAUAGACAGGGAAGGAUCUCUUAUAAUGAUUAUUUUUCUAUAUGUGAAUGGAAAUAGUCAUCAAGGUAGUUUUUAAACAAGCUUGCACAGCUCAACUCUCCAAGCAUCAGUUGUAAGGCUUAACAUCUUAGUUCUGUGUAAGACAGAAGCUUGCAGAAAUCGCAGAGAAACAACUCAAUAAUCAGACAAAGCUAAGAGCCUGGGUAAAGGCUCCGUCACAGGUUUGAACUUGGUGUUCAUCACAUUCCUGUCUGCUCCCCAGAGAGCCGUUUGAAAGACUUGAGGAGUAAGCGGGCCUACAUCUUUUCACUGAGUGUGGGAGCAGACAAUAGAAUCUACUUCCAUGCCGUUCACGUGCCUUUAAAUUAACAUGGUAGAGUUUCAUAGGAACGGUAGGUCACAGCUAUCUGACUCUGUUCAGUUUUGAAAGAAUUGCGCCUCCCUUCCUUAUUAUGUUUUACUAUGCUAAGGUGUGAAAUCACCUCAGAUAGAAAAGUUGUGUGAAGAAGAGGACAGGAAUGAAGCUAGAUACUACACAUCUCUUAUAAAAAGGGCAGCAAAAAUUUAGAAGGGGAACUACCCCAAGUAUUCAGCACAGAGAAGGCUGCUUUCAGAUAUCCAGUGGUAAAGUUGUUCUUCUUGUACUCCUGGCAGUGAACGACGGAGUUCAUCUACCCAAGAACCACCCAUCGGUUGCUUGUAGUAGAUCCUCUGAAAAAGCUUCUUUUAUCAAAUUCUAGUACACUUAAAUAAUUCUUAAUAAGUCCAGGACGGUAUAUAUACCCAGCAAUCCAAAAAUCACCUGAAGUAAGUUUAACCUUUGAUAUCGUUUUCUCUAAUUCAUAAGAUGUAAGCAAGAAAGUAAGGGAUGAGUCAAUAAUUUACCAUAUGUACCUAUAUUAUUUAUAUAAUAGAGAGCUCAGCUUACUUCUAUACACGCAAGUAGAAAGGAAAAGAAAACAUUAAAUUCCAUGUGCAUGAUACAGCAGAAACAAAAGCAUCAUGGAUAAAAUUCCAUCUCAUACAGAUUUUAAAGGUGGUAGCCUAAUCAGUCUUGUUAGGCAAGAAGAGUAAGUUGUAAGACCCACUGGGACACUUACUUGUCCAAUUUUACACCAAAGCUACCAUAGCCUGUUUGCUUUUAGUUGUUACAUGCAGCUACUUACCUAGCACCUGGGUCUGAAAAUGUUGCAAAUUAGCAGGGACUUUGAAGUUUUAGCCAUUUUAGAGUUAGACUCAUUAAACUGGGGAAACAGUUACGUUUACUUUAGAGAAAGGAAACUUAUUUUCCUCUUAUGCUGACUAUUAUAGAGUUUCAGGGAAAACCCAUUGUUUCAUGUAUGUAGGCAACCUUUCUUUGUACAGGAUAUUUGAUUGCACUGUGAACAGGGAGAUUGUGUUAUUUAGUGAAAAAAGCCGUUUUAUUCCUUAGCACACAUCUAUAUUCCCUCAGAUUGGAAUACAGACUUGCCCUUAGUAACAUACUUAUUCCCAUAUAAUCAAGUUAAUAUCAUCAUAUCUCCAUGGGUAGGUCUUCCUGUGACUUACUCUAUUCCAGAUUAUUUUUCAUCUCCCAGAUGUCUCACUUUCUAUUUCCUCCCUAAGCUAUAGGACACAUGCUUUUUAAUUGACAGAUGAUGCUUCCACAUAAUAAACAAUAUAUUCCCACUACAAUAAGUAAAAUAUGAGCAUAUGUUUUUAUUUAAAAAUCAGUGGCCCUAGAGAAAUUUAGAUUUUCUCACAAUUUCUUUUAAUGGGACUUUAUUUCUUUGUGAGGAAAAGACUGAAUGUUCUUUUCAUAAAUCUAACAGUUUUAUCAGACCAUACAAGUCAUUGUUACUGGCAACAAGUAAACUGGGGAUGGUGAAAAGACUUCCCAGUGUGUUUAAGAUACCUGUUUCAAGAUCAGCAAUUUGCUAAGCACUCUUUUUUCAGACUGCUUUUCUUUGAAAGCACAUUUUCAUACAUACCUUUCCCACCACCCCCAUUACAUAGUGAACAUUCAUCUAUAUUACAGAAAAGAAUCAAAUCCAGAGACCUGACCAAAAAGGGGGCACAGAUGUAAACUCACUGUUCUCAAAACAGGAAUAUCAAAAGCUUACAGACACUUAAAGAAAUAUUCAACAAACUUAGCCAUCAGGGAAAUGAAGAUGAAAAAUCAAUUACUAUUUCAUCUUAUACCAGUAAGAAUGGUUUUGAACAACAAAAAAGAGAGAGCUAAUACUGAAAAUGAUAUAGAAUAAGAGGAAUUCUCAAGCAUUGCUUAUGGCAAUGCAACCUCAUAGAUCCACUGUGAAAAUUCUGAGUUACCUCACUCAGGACGAUAUUUUCUAUUUCCCUUCUUUUGCCUAAGAGUUUCAUGAUGUCAUUGAUUUUAAUAACUGAGUCAUACUAAAAUAGUAAAUAGGAAAUAGUAGUUAUAAAAAUGUAUCUUUUUGUCUGUAUCCAUUCUCCUUUUUAAGGUCAUCUGGGUUCUUUCCAGCUUCUGGCUAUUAUAAAUAAGGCUGCUAUGAACAUAGUGGAUCACGUGUCUUUGUUAUAUGUUGGGGCAUCUUUUGGGUAUAUGCCCAAGAGUGGUAUAGUUGGGUCUGCAGGUAGUACUAUGUCCAAUUUUCUGAGGAACCACCAGAAUGAUUUCCAGAGUAGUUGUAUCACCUUGAAAUACCACCAACUAGAUAAUAUUAUCCUGAGUGAGGUAACCCAAUCGCAAAAGAAUACACAUGGCAUGCAUUCCCUGAUAAGUGGAUAUUAGCCCCAAAUCUGAAUACCCAAGAUACAAUUCACAAACAAGAUGAAGCUCAAGAAGAAGGAAAACCAAAAUUUGGAUGCUUCAGUCCUUCUUUGAAAGGGGAACAAAAUACUCAAGGGAAAUAUAUGGUAGUAGGAACUUGGGAGGGAGAGAAGAGGGGGAGGGGGGAAAUGAGGCAGGAUCUGGUAUGGGAGGAGGCAAGGAUAAUAUAUAGAUGAUCAGGAAUUUGAACAGAUUUUUUUUAUUUUUUUUGGUUCUUUUUUUCAGAGCUGGGGACUGAACCCAGGGCCCUGCACUUCCUAGGCAAGCGCUCUACCACUGAGCUAAAUCCCCAACUUGAACAGAUUUUUAUAGCAACAGGAGAAGGGUAACUAGGGCUAGCCACCAGCAAGUCCCAGAUGCUAGGAAAGCAAGUGGCUUCCAGGACCCAAAGGGGAUGAGAUUAGCUGAAAUGCCCAACAAAAGAGAGGGAGAACCUCUAGAAACCAUAUCUAGAGGCUGGCCAAGGUCCCUGUUUGGGACAUGGGAUCACCUACUUAUCUAGAAUAUUUUAACUCACAAUGCCUCCUGUCUAAAGGGAAUAUGGGGGCAAACUGUGGGACAGAGCCUGGAGGAAAGGCCACCUGGGAUCCAAUACCAUAUACAGACAACAGAUCCAGACACUAUUGUGAAUGUCAAGAGAUGCCUGCUGAAAAGAUUCCUGUUAUAAGUGUCUCCUGAGAUGCUCUGCCAGAGCCUGACAAAUACAGAAGUAUAUUCUCACUGGCAACCAUUGGACCAAGCAAAGGGACCCCAAUGGAGGAAUUAGGAAAAAGGACUUAAGGAGCUGAAGGGGUUUGCAACCCCAUAGGAAGAAAAACAAUAUCAACUAACCAGACCUCCCACCCAGAGCUCCUGUGAUCUAAACCACCAACCAAAAUGUACACAAGGCAAGACCCAUAGCUCCAGCCACAUAUGCAGCAGAGAAUGACAUUGUCUAGCAUCAAUAGGAGGAGAGGCCCUUGGUUCUGUGAAGGCUCGAUGCCCUAGUGUAGAAGAAUGCUAUGGCAGUGAUAUAAGAAGAUAUGGGUGGGAGGUGGAGUACAUUCACAGAAGCAGUGGGAAGGGGGAAUGGUUUAGGGGUAUUCUGGAGGUGAAACUGGGAAAGGGGAUAACAUUGAAAUGUAAAUACUUAACAUAUUCAAUGAAAAUAUAAAUAAAUAAAAUAACCAAUAAAAAUCCAAACACAACAAAAUUCUGCAGGAGUGACUCAGGAAGAUAGAAAGCCAUUUAACACAAGAUUGAUCUAUACCACUCUUGAAUAUAUGGUUUUUAGCUUUAUGUCAAUGACAGCCAAGCUAUAAUCCUUAGAACAAGAAAUGAUAAGUCCCUUCUUUUACCUUCAUCAGAGACACUUCAGUAGAUGGAAAGGAAUAUAGAAACAAGCAGCCAGAUAUUAUUAAGCACAGAGUGAGAAACCUGAAAUUCUCAGACCUCAAUGAGGUGUCAUCAUCAAGCCCUUUGCCUCUAAGAUCAAGGACCCCUACCAUUGAGGAAGCAAAACAUGGUUUCAGAGCCAUGGGCCUGGGGGACACGAAGAAAACAAAGCACACUAAAUCAUGAUAAACAAAGCUAAUAGGAACCACAUAGGGAGAAGUACUAUUAGGAGAUGUGGCCUUGGAGUAGAUUUGUCACUCUGGAUGUGGGCUUAACACCUUCAUCCUUCCUUUGCCUGCACCAUGCCUGACUAGAUGCUGCUAUGCUCUCACCUUGACAAUGGACUGAACCUCUAAACCUCCAAGCUAUCCCCAAAUGUAUGUUGUCCUUUAUAAGAAUUUCUUUGGUCUUGGUGUAUGUUCAGAGCAGUAAAACCCUAAGACAAUGUAUAACAAAAAGAAAGACCUAGAAGGUUUUGGCAGACACAAGUCAUAUGCAUUGAUUUACUUAUGCUAUGUUUUCACUAUGUUAAUAUAAUGCAAUUUUAUUAAUAAAAUAUAUUAAUAUACUUUGUGAUCAUAUUAUUGUUGAUUAAUCAAUCUCAAUAGCAGGUUAGUAAUUUAUUUUCAUUAGAAUAAUAUAUUUUUAAAUAAAUAAACAUAAUUGGUUAAUAAAAUACAAGUGAACUUGAUGCAUGAAGGGAGUAAUUUGGAGGGUAUUACCAUUACUAAUUGGGGUUACAUGCAUAGUUUCAUGUAGGAGUGUUGGCCUUGCAUGUAUUAGACAAGAGGUGCUAUCUCAUCAUGAAAAUAUGAUCUUGUGUUAAUAUUUUGAUGAGAUCUGGUCAUGAUACACAAUGUACAAUUCAUCAACUUUUUAAGAAUUCAGAAUAUUAUAAAAGGCAGGGUCAAAUUGAAAUGUAUACCUGUACCAUAGGGUUUCUAUUUCUGGCUACAGACACUAUAUAACCAAUUGUGUCAGCCUGAUUCCUACCCCAUCUAUAUCUGUACUAAGUCCAUACCUGUCCUUCCAUUAUGGAAUAUAUCAUUAGAGUUUGUCUUCUCAUUUUUGAGGAAAUAAUAUGUGAUUGUUAUGCACAUAGUGACCUUGCAAAAUUCUUACAUUUCAUUCAAUGGAUCUUUCAACCCAAAUUUUUCUCAGAGCUACUACUAAUUUCUCUACUUAUUAGAUACCAUAGUGAUGGUUUUAUGACUCUCCCUGGUGAAAUUCCACCUGUUUUCUACAAAGGAACUACUAUGCAAACUGUGAACUUUUGUUGAUGAUGAAGGUAUCCACUAUCAAUAAGCAAUUCAUGUUGAAAUAUGACAACAUAUUUCAGAGAAAUAUCAUUUUAUAAAGAGAGAAUUACCUUUAUCUAUAUUGCUUUAUCAUAGAUGCCUUCUAAGAAAAUAUCGUCAGUUUUCAAAGACUCUGCAAAUAGCACUAGUAUAGAAUAUGGUUUCCCUCUUCUCUUUAAUUUUUUCUUCUUCCCCCUCUCUCUCUUUCUUUAUUUCUAGAACUUUGGUUCCAUGAAGAUCUUGCUACCUUUGUAAGCUGUUAUACCAUGGAAAACUCUUACUUUCCUUUCCUUUCUCUUAUUUUCUCCAGGUUACAUUCCUACUUUACAAAUACAAAUUACAUGCUAGAUUUAAUAAAUUACUUCUAUAAAGUUAUUUCCUACUUUACAAACAUACUAAAUCAUGAAAAAUCUCAACAAAGACAAUAAAUCUUGAUGCCAAUGUAGACAUUCUGUCUGAUUCUAGUUCUUAUUAAGUUCUUGCUUCAAAUUAUGCUAAUGGCACAAUUUACCUAGGUUAUCAAACAUAAUUUUACUAAUAGCUGGUUCACUGACACAUAUAUUCCUCCUCUCUCUGUUUCAGCUUUGACUUAUAAGACAUCUUUUGUUUUUCUUUAGGUUACUGUGUUCCUCAAUGAUAUAUGUGUAGAUUUGAGGAUUUAGGAUACCACGGUUUGGUCAUUAUUAUUGGUAUAAGUAGGGUCUCCUAUUCAUUUUUUUUCUUUUUACUUUUUGUUUAUUGGGAAUUAUCUUUAUUUACAUUUCAAAUGUUAUCCCAUUUCCUCUUUUCCCCU
Non-coding RNA from Rattus norvegicus (Norway rat), 11641 nucleotides. The record is from RefSeq and is a predicted model, not a curated record. NCBI's taxonomy places the organism in Eukaryota, Metazoa, Chordata, Mammalia, Rodentia, Muridae.